Molecule: small RNA, 448 nt
Filed under: Vigna angularis var. angularis
Lineage: Eukaryota; Viridiplantae; Streptophyta; Magnoliopsida; Fabales; Fabaceae
Description: Non-protein coding transcript
Source: RNAcentral
CCCACCCUAACCAUAAUUGGGAUACGAUUCUUCCCCAGUCCUCCAUUAUAGUGUUCUGAGCUGAGGAAGGUGGUGGGUGGUUCAGUUGAAGGCUACCAUUGUCGAGGGAAGAUAUUCGAGGAGGCGGCGUAGACGAGGCGGCGCAACCAGGGGAGUGUCGCUCUGUGACAAGGUCUUCCACUACCGCUUCAGAGGCUAUUGAAGGGGCUACCGUCGAGAGAUUAAUUGAUGGUUUCUUCAUUCUCAAACAAAGAAUGUGACAAUCCUUAGUGAAGUGGAGAGUUGGACCAGAGGAAGAAGAGCUUGAGUUACUCUCUCUGCACCAAAGAAAUAUGUUUCAACACAUUCUUUAGGUGAGUUUUUAAAGCAAUUGUGGUCAGAAGGGGAGGAAGAGAGUCUACAAAGAAGACUUGAGCAGGAAAGGAUAACAAAGGCGAAGAACAUGGCC